This 253-nucleotide ribosomal RNA is filed under the name uncultured bacterium. RNAcentral's name for it is "partial 16S ribosomal RNA". It matches the Rfam family "Bacterial small subunit ribosomal RNA", at positions 524 to 776 of the family's 1533-position model. The record is from RNAcentral.
UACGGAGGGAGCUAGCGUUGUUCGGAAUUACUGGGUGUAAAGUGUGUGUAGGUGGUUAUUCAAGUCAGAGGUGAAAGCCCGGGGCUCAACCCCGGAACUGCCUUUGAAACUAGGUAGCUAGAAUCUUGGAGAGGUCAGUGGAAUUCCGAGUGUAGAGGUGAAAUUCGUAGAUAUUCGGAAGAACACCAGUGGCGAAGGCGACUGACUGGACAAGUAUUGACGCUGAGGUGCGAAAGCGUGGGGAGCAAACAGG